UACAGAGGUCUCAAGCGUUGUUCGGAUUUAUUGGGCGUAAAGGGCGCGUAGGCGGCGGGGUAAGUCGGGUGUGAAAUCUCAGGGCUCAACCCUGAAACUGCACUUGAUACUGCUCUGCUUGAGGACUGGAGAGGAGACUGGAAUUCACGGUGUAGCAGUGAAAUGCGUAGAUAUCGUGAGGAAGACCAGUGGCGAAGGCGACUCUUUGGCCUGUAACUGACGCUGAGGCGCGAAAGCGUGGGGAGCAAACAGG
RNAcentral lists this ribosomal RNA (253 nucleotides) under uncultured bacterium. Its description in RNAcentral is "partial 16S ribosomal RNA". It matches the Rfam family "Bacterial small subunit ribosomal RNA", at positions 524 to 776 of the family's 1533-position model. The record is from RNAcentral.